UUAGUUUCUUUAGUACUUUGGAAUUAGCAAUUUUUUUCCUUGCCGUAUAUUUAUUUCCUAUGUGCUCCUACAUCUGGAUUAUAGACUUGUGAUGUGAAGGACUUGUAGUCAUUCCUACGUGCUCAUACGGUGUACGCCUCAUUAAUAGGUAGUCAUUCCUAUUUUCUCAUACACUAUUUUAUAAGUGAUUAGGCCAAGUGAUGUGCUAUGUUGCUUACCGGCGGAGUUCUGACCAAAAAAAAAUUACGGUGCAACCAGCAGCGGUAUUUUCUUGAAAACAUAGUGAUGGUCAGGAAGGACAUAAUAAUGAAUCUAUGUGACAAAUCGCAAAAGAAAAGGCAGGAUGAUACUAGCCUGGGAGCGACGACUCCGGAUAAGAUUAUGGAAGGGAGGUGACCAGGGAAUAUGUGACAACAUACAUGUUUUUGGUAAGUUGGAUUAAAACAAACCAUAAAAAAAAUAUAUUGGAGAUAAAAAGCUAGGGUAAAAAAUCAAGCAACACAAAUCGGGGCGCACUACGGGA
Molecule: long non-coding RNA, 523 nt
Filed under: Sorghum bicolor (sorghum)
Lineage: Eukaryota; Viridiplantae; Streptophyta; Magnoliopsida; Poales; Poaceae
Description: long non-coding RNA (SBIC_LNC005237)
Source: RNAcentral